This 299-nucleotide signal recognition particle RNA is filed under the name Cebus imitator (Panamanian white-faced capuchin). RNAcentral's name for it is "Metazoan signal recognition particle RNA (ENSCCAG00000002582.1)". It matches the Rfam family "Metazoan signal recognition particle RNA". From Rfam's summary of the family: The signal recognition particle (SRP) is a universally conserved ribonucleoprotein. It is involved in the co-translational targeting of proteins to membranes. The eukaryotic SRP consists of a 300-nucleotide 7S RNA and six proteins: SRPs 72, 68, 54, 19, 14, and 9. The record is from RNAcentral. Lineage: Eukaryota; Metazoa; Chordata; Mammalia; Primates; Cebidae.
GCUGGGUGUGGUGGCGCGUGCCUGUAGUCCCAGCUUCUCAGGAGGCUGAGGUGGGAGGAUUGCUUGAGCCCAGGAGUUCUGGGCUGUAGUGCGCUAUGCCGAUCGGGUGUCCGCACUAAGUUCGGCAUCAAUAUGGUGACCUCCUGGGAGCGAGGGACCACCAGGUUGCCUAAGGAGAGGUGAACUGUCCCAGGUCGGAAAUGGGGCAGUUCAAAACUCCCGUGCUGAUAAGCAGUGGGAUCGUGCCUGUGAACAGCCGCUGCACUCCAGCCUAAGCAACAUAGCGAGACACCAUCUCU